GAGGGUAUAGCUCAGUGGUAGAGCGCAUGCGUAUCAUGCAAAGUGUCCUAGGCUCAAUUCCCAGUCCCUCCA
This 72-nucleotide transfer RNA is filed under the name Camelus bactrianus (Bactrian camel). It matches the Rfam family "tRNA". Rfam says of the family: Transfer RNA (tRNA) molecules are approximately 80 nucleotides in length. Their secondary structure includes four short double-helical elements and three loops (D, anti-codon, and T loops). Further hydrogen bonds mediate the characteristic L-shaped molecular structure. tRNAs have two regions of fundamental functional importance: the anti-codon, which is responsible for specific mRNA codon recognition, and the 3' end, to which the tRNAs corresponding amino acid is attached (by aminoacyl-tRNA synthetases). tRNAs cope with the degeneracy of the genetic code in two manners: having more than one tRNA (with a specific anti-codon) for a particular amino acid; and 'wobble' base-pairing, i.e. permitting non-standard base-pairing at the 3rd anti-codon position. Lineage: Eukaryota; Metazoa; Chordata; Mammalia; Artiodactyla; Camelidae. The record is from Rfam by way of RNAcentral. RNAcentral also lists the same sequence under 2 other names.